CCCUUAGAUGUCCUGGGCCGCACGCGCGCUACACUGAUACAUGCAACGAGUUUAUAACCUUGAUCUGACGGUCUGGGUAAUCUUCAAACUGUAUCGUGUUAGGGAUCGAUUCUUGCAAUUUUUAAUCGUAAACGAGGAAUUCCUAGUAAACGCAAGUCAUCAGCUUGCAUUGAUUACGUCCCUGCCCUUUGUACACACCGCCCGUCGACUCUACCGAUUGAAUGGUUCGGUGAAAACUUUGGACUGUGGCAUUGUCCUUCAUUGGACUUCGCCGUAGGAAAUUGUUUAAACCUCAUCAUUUAGAGGAAGAAUAAGUCGUAACA
This 323-nucleotide ribosomal RNA is filed under the name uncultured eukaryote. RNAcentral's name for it is "partial 18S ribosomal RNA". It matches the Rfam family "Eukaryotic small subunit ribosomal RNA", at positions 1470 to 1796 of the family's 1831-position model. The record is from RNAcentral.